GAUGAACGCUAGCGGCAGGCCUAAUACAUGCAAGUCAAACGGGAUCUGAGGGUAGCUUGCUACCCGAUUUGAGAGUGGCGCACGGGUGCGUAACGCGUGAGCAACCUACCCAUAUCAGGGGGAUAGCCCGAAGAAAUUCGGAUUAACACCGCAUAAUAAUACGCUAACACAUGUUGAUGUAUUUAAAUAUUUAGAGGAUAUGGAUGGGCUCGCGUGGCAUUAGCUAGUUGGUAAGGUAACGGCUUACCAAGGCGACGAUGUCUAGGGGCUCUGAGAGGAGAAUCCCCCACACUGGUACUGAGACACGGACCAGACUCCUACGGGAGGCAGCAGUAAGGAAUAUUGGUCAAUGGGCGCAAGCCUGAAUCAGCCAUGCCGCGUGCAGGAUGACUGCCCUAUGGGUUGUAAACUGCUUUUGUUAGGGAAUAAACCUUCUUACGUGUAAGGAGCUGAAUGUACCUAAAGAAUAAGGAUCGGCUAACUCCGUGCCAGCAGCCGCGGUAA
This 504-nucleotide ribosomal RNA is filed under the name uncultured bacterium. RNAcentral describes it as "partial 16S ribosomal RNA". It matches the Rfam family "Bacterial small subunit ribosomal RNA", at positions 28 to 523 of the family's 1533-position model. The record is from RNAcentral.